Triticum aestivum (bread wheat) is the source of this 1025-nucleotide long non-coding RNA. RefSeq lists it as uncharacterized. The record is from RefSeq and is a predicted model, not a curated record. The transcript has 4 exons. NCBI's taxonomy places the organism in Eukaryota, Viridiplantae, Streptophyta, Magnoliopsida, Poales, Poaceae.
CCUUUUAUAGGGAAGGAUGGACCACGCUGCGUGCAAGACUGCAGCACCGCGCAGGCACUAGGCUGCCGCAGUCCAGCAGGGACCACCCGCCUUCCUCCCGAACGGUUCCAGGAUGGACAUCGGUACCAGCCCUGCGCCGGCCAGUCGUGCCCAGGCAAGCGUUUUUCAUCGUCAUGGAGUACAUGGGAGCAGGGACGUACCCGUGACCAGGCACCAGCACUGCGCCAGCCAAUAUGUGGGAAAGCAGACUCGUGACCAACAUCGUGGAAAAACGAGCGGGCAUGUUGCCUCUGGUAAAACUCGUCCGCACAUAGGAGAGAGACCGGGAGACACUGAGAGAGGAACAGAUACAUCCUGGUGGCAGCAAGAUCACACGGCGGCGCACCCUCGUCAGCUACAGCUUCCCUCUCCCUGUAAUCCUUAGCCCCCUGUCAUCUGAGUGCGCCGUCCCCUUCAAGGCACAGCCGCCGGCGACCUCUCCUUCACCAUCACCGUGUCCCCACCCUGAGCUCCGACCUACCCACCAUCUCAAGCAGGUCCAGAUCCGCCACGGCUCCCGCAGCCACGCGCCAGCAGACCAAGCAGGCGUGCAGGUGCACGACGUGUGGUUACUCUUCCACUCUCGUGGCCACCAUUCUGCUUCCUCCCCUCCCAUGGUUCAGCAGCAGCAGCAGUGACAAGCGAUUUGGAGGGAACAAGCUGAGCAAUUGCAGCCAUCGUCCUCGCCUAGGAGGAGGAGGAGGAGCUUCAUCACAUGAGCAGCAGCUUAGGUAGGAUAUGAAGCCGUGGCCCUUUAAGGUCAUCCCUGGCCCCGCCGACAAGCCCAGGAUCGCCGUCGACUACAAGGUGUACCCAUGCAAUGCUUGUUUCCUUGAAUCAGAAGCUCGAUGCAAGCAAAUUGCAGUAUUUAACUGAAUGUGUUUUGAUACCAUUCUCCGAUUUAGCUAGGGAAAACAGAUUGAUGUUUUUUGUGCACGCUAUUUCUUCAGAACUUGUAUGUCUUUGAUCAAAUAACUUUUAUGAUA